This 330-nucleotide ribosomal RNA is filed under the name uncultured eukaryote. Its description in RNAcentral is "partial 18S ribosomal RNA". It matches the Rfam family "Eukaryotic small subunit ribosomal RNA", at positions 1470 to 1796 of the family's 1831-position model. The record is from RNAcentral.
CCCUUAGAUGUUCUGGGCCGCACGCGCGCUACACUGAUGCAUUCAACGAGUCUAAAACCUGGUCUGAUAGGGCUGGGUAAUCUUUUGAAAGUGCAUCGUGAUUGGGAUAGAUGAUUGCAAUUCUUCAUCUUCAACGAGGAAUGCCUAGUAAACGCAAGUCAUCAGCUUGUAUUGAUUACGUCCCUGCCCUUUGUACACACCGCCCGUCGCUCCUACCGAUUGAAUGAUCCGAUGAAUACCAUGGAUUGAGAGUACGAAUGGGUUCGCUCAUUUCUGCUGCUCGAGAAGUGGAGUAAAUCUUAUCAUUUAGAGGAAGGAGAAGUCGUAACA